Molecule: long non-coding RNA, 241 nt
Filed under: Carica papaya (papaya)
Lineage: Eukaryota; Viridiplantae; Streptophyta; Magnoliopsida; Brassicales; Caricaceae
Description: long non-coding RNA (CPAP_LNC006805)
Source: RNAcentral
UUUCAGGAAACCUUAACCCUAUCCACACUAGUCCUCGUCGGAGAAGAAUAAGAAGGGCGGCUGAAAAAUAAACCGACCGUCGUCGCCGCCGUACCGGAGCCACCGCCGAUGUCGAAUAAGUAUUUUUUCUCCCCCCUUCCCGCUUGGAAUUCAAUCUCGAAUUUUUCUAUGAUCAUAUCGGAGCCAAAAGGGCUACGGGUGAGCCGAAAAACACGAACAAAGCUUGGCUGAACCGCUGUAG